RNAcentral lists this ribosomal RNA (1380 nucleotides) under metagenome. Its description in RNAcentral is "bacterial LSU rRNA". It matches the Rfam family "Bacterial large subunit ribosomal RNA", at positions 1501 to 2866 of the family's 2925-position model. The record is from RNAcentral.
GUCGUGGUGCGGUAAGCGCGUAGGGUGUUUGAUAGGCAAAUCCGUCAAACAUUAAGCCUGAGACGUGAUGCGGAGUCACAGAUGUGACGAAUUGACUGAUCCUACACUGCCUAGAAAAACUUCUAACCAGAACAAGUGUGCCCGUACUGAAACCGACACUGGUGGGCAAGUAGAAAAUACUAAGGCGGCGGGUGAAGCCCUCUUAAGGAACUCGGCAAAUUAACCCCGUAACUUAGGGAAAAGGGGUGCCUUGGUUGGUGUAGGGAUUUACUCCCGAAGCUGAUUGAGGUCGCAGUGAAAGGGCCCAAGCGACUGUUUAACACAAACACAGGUCUCUGCCAAGCCGCAAGGCGAUGUAUAGGGGCUGACGCCUGCCCGGUGCUGGAACGUUAAGAGGAGGGCUUAGGAGCAAUCCGAAGGCUUAAACCGAAGCGCCAGUAAACGGCGGCCGUAACUAUAACGGUCCUAAGGUAGCGAGAUUCCUUGUCGGGUAAGUUCCGACCCGCACGAAAGGCGUAACGACUUGGGCACUGUCUCGAGAGGGGGCCCGGCGAAAUUGCAUUACCUGUGAAGAUGCAGGUUACCCGCAGCAAGACGGAAAGACCCCGUGGAGCUUUACUGUAGCUUGAUGUUGGAUUUUGGUCAGUUCUGUACAGGAUACGUGGGAGACAGUGAUGGCGUGACGCAAGUUACGUCGGAGUCGUUGUUGGGAUACCACGCUGAACUGGCUGGAGUUCUAACCAGACGAGUGAAUCCUUGUCUGGGACAGCGUCUGGUAGGCAGUUUGACUGGGGCGGUUGCCUCCUAAAGAGUAACGGAGGCGUUCAAAGGUUCCCUCAGCCUGGUCGGGAAUCAGGCGCAGAGUGCAAGCGCAUAAGGGAGUUUGACUGCGAGACGAACAUGUCGAGCAGAGUGGAAACACGGAGCUAGUGAUCCGGCGGUGCCGAAUGGAAGGGCCGUCGCUUAUCGGAUAAAAGCUACCCCGGGGAUAACAGGCUUAUCGCGCCCAAGAGUCCAUAUCGACGGCGCGGUUUGGCACCUCGAUGUCGGCUCAUCGCAUCCUGGGGCUGUAAUCGGUCCCAAGGGUUGGGCUGUUCGCCCAUUAAAGCGGUACGUGAGCUGGGUUCAGAACGUCGUGAGACAGUUCGGUCCCUAUCUGCUGUGGGCGUAGGAGAAUUGAAGGGAUCUGACCUUAGUACGAGAGGACCGGGUUGGACAGACCUCUGGUGAACCAGUUGUGAUGCCAGUCGCAAAGCUGGGUAGCUAAGUCUGGAAGGGAUAAACGCUGAAAGCAUCUAAGCGUGAAGCCCACCUUAAGAUGAGUUCUCCCACCCGUAAGGGGUAAGAGCCCUGGAAGACUACCAGGUUGAUAGGUCGGAU